This 305-nucleotide ribosomal RNA is filed under the name uncultured bacterium. RNAcentral describes it as "bacterial SSU rRNA". It matches the Rfam family "Bacterial small subunit ribosomal RNA", at positions 333 to 655 of the family's 1533-position model. The record is from RNAcentral.
GUGCCCCUACGGGAGGCAGCAGUAGGGAAUAUUGCUCAAUGGGGGAAACCCUGAAGCAGCAACGCCGCGUGGAGGAUGAAGGUUUUAGGACUGUAAACUCCCUUUGUGAGAGAAGAUAAUGACGGUAUCUCACGAAUAAGCACCGGCUAACUCCGUGCCAGCAGCCGCGGUAAUACGGAGGGUGCAAGCGUUACUCGGAAUCACUGGGCGUAAAGAGUGCGCAGGCGGGCUUGUAGGUCAGAUGUGAAAUCCUGUAGCUUAACUACAGAACUGCAUUUGAAACUAUGAGUCUAGAGAGUGGGAGG